RNAcentral lists this ribosomal RNA (253 nucleotides) under uncultured bacterium. RNAcentral's name for it is "partial 16S ribosomal RNA". It matches the Rfam family "Bacterial small subunit ribosomal RNA", at positions 524 to 776 of the family's 1533-position model. The record is from RNAcentral.
UACGUAGGUGGCAAGCGUUGUCCGGAUUUACUGGGCGUAAAGAGCGCGCAGGCGGUCAGAUAAGUCGACUGUGAAAGCCCCCGGCUCAACUGGGGAGGGUCAUUCGAUACUGCUCGACUCGAAGGCAGGAGAGGGAAGCGGAAUUCCCGGUGUAGUGGUGAAAUGCGUAGAUAUCGGGAGGAACACCAGUGGCGAAGGCGGCUUCCUGGCCUGUUCUUGACGCUGAGGCGCGAAAGCUAGGGGAGCAAACGGG